GGGAUGAGCUGUGGAUAGGGGUGAAAGGCCAAUCAAACUUCGUGAUAGCUGGUUCUCUCCGAAAUGCAUUUAGGUGCAGCGUUGCGUGUUUCUUGCCGGAGGUAGAGCUACUGGAUGGCCGAUGGGCCCUAAAAGGUUACUGACGUCAGCCAAACUCCGAAUGCCGGUAAGUGAGAGCGCAGCAGUGAGACUGUGGGGGAUAAGCUUCAUAGUCGAGAGGGAAACAGCCCAGAUCGCCGGCUAAGGUCCCCAAGUCGUGGCUAAGUGGGAAAGGAUGUGGGACUCCCAAAACAACCAGGAGGUUGGCUUAGAAGCAGCCAUCCUUGAAAGAGUGCGUAAUAGCUCACUGGUCAAGUGAUUCCGCGCCGAUAAUGUAGCGGGGCUUAAGUUAUCCGCCGAAGCUGUGGCAACCUGUGUGGUUGGGUAGGGGAGCGUCGUGUCAGUGGUGAAGCUGCCGGGUGACUGUGUGGUGGAGUUGAUGCGAGUGAGAAUGCAGGCAUGAGUAGCGAAAGACGGGUGAGAAACCCGUCCUCCGAAAGACCAAGGGUUCCAGGGUCAAGCUAAUCUGCCCUGGGUAAGUCGGGACCUAAGGCGAGGCCGUCAGGCGUAGUCGAUGGACAACGGGUUGAUAUUCCCGUACCGGCGAAGAACCGCCCAAGUCAAUCCAGUAAUGCUAAGCACCCGAAUACCACGGGUUCUCCUUUGGGAGUUUCUGUGGGGCUAGCGUGCGACCCUAUGCUGGUGCGGCUAACGUAUUAACAGGUGUGACGCAGGAAGGUAGCCUCCGCGGGGCGAUGGUUGUCCCCGUCUAAGGAUGUAGGGCGAACGAUAGGCAAAUCCGUCGUUCACAUGCCUGAGAUCUGAUGGUGAGUCCGUAUGGACGAAGAGGGUGAUCCUAUGCUGCCGAGAAAAGCAUCGACGUGAGGUUCUAGCCGCCCGUACCCUAAACCGACUCAGGUGGUCAGGUAGAGAAUACCAAGGAGAUCGAGAGAAUCAUGGUUAAGGAACUCGGCAAAAUGCCCCCGUAACUUCGGGAGAAGGGGGACCACUGCUGGUGACAGACUGGUUGAGCUGGUGGUGGUCGCAGAGAGUAGAGGGAAGCGACUGUUU
Molecule: ribosomal RNA, 1110 nt
Filed under: Aurantiochytrium limacinum
Lineage: Eukaryota; Bigyra; Thraustochytrida; Thraustochytriidae
Description: partial Bacterial large subunit ribosomal RNA
Rfam family: Bacterial large subunit ribosomal RNA
Source: RNAcentral